Non-coding RNA from Meleagris gallopavo (turkey), 269 nucleotides. The record is from RefSeq and is a predicted model, not a curated record. Lineage: Eukaryota; Metazoa; Chordata; Aves; Galliformes; Phasianidae.
GACCGCGAGAAUCAGUCGAUCCUGAUCACCGGAGAAUCCGGUGCAGGGAAGACUGUGAACACAAAACGUGUCAUCCAGUACUUUGCAACAAUUGCAGCCAGCGGAGAUAAGAAGAAGGAGGAGCAGUCUGGCAAAAUGCAGGGAACACUUGAGGAUCAAAUCAUCAGUGCCAACCCGCUGCUGGAGGCCUUUGGAAAUGCCAAGACUGUGAGGAAUGACAACUCCUCACGCUUUGGUAAAUUCAUCAGAAUCCACUUUGGGGCCACAGG